RNAcentral lists this long non-coding RNA (1350 nucleotides) under Chinchilla lanigera (long-tailed chinchilla). RNAcentral's name for it is "lncRNA (ENSCLAG00000028075.1)". Lineage: Eukaryota; Metazoa; Chordata; Mammalia; Rodentia; Chinchillidae. The record is from RNAcentral.
GGUUUUUUUUUUGUCUCCACUUCUUUUGUUUGUUUGUUUUUUCGGUACUGGGAAUUGAACUCAUGACGUUGCGCUUGCCAGGCCGCUGAGCUAAAUCCCCAGCCCCAAUCCCCCCACCCCCUGCCCCUGGGUACCAGGGAUCGAACUCACGACCUUGUGCUUGCUGGGCAGGCGCUGUGCCACUGAGCUAAACCCCCAGCCCCAGGUUUUUUGUUUGUCUGUUUGUUUGGUACCGGCAAUUGAACUCUGGACCUUGCACUUGCCAGGCAGGCGCUUAUGCCAGUGAGCUACAUUCCCAGCCCAGGGCUCAGGUUGAAAACUGCCUGGGUGGGACUUUGGAGUGUUUGCAGCACCAGUCUAGAGAACUUGAGCUUCAUUUGACAGUGGAGCAAGCCACGCAUACAGGAGGGGCAAACGCCUGUCUUGCCAGACACUGAGCUCGUUCCGCCUUAUCCCAGAGCCUGGGAGGCUUUUUGUUGCCUGUACCUGCACGACAUCAAGCAGAGCUUGAGGAAGGGAGUCGAAUCUAAACAGGGCUAACCUCCGCCGACCCCUGGCCGUGCUUGCAAAAUGCCCCAGACCCGGCCCGACGGCUGAGCACCCCUAGCAGCGCCUCCGGAGCCUCGGCCAGGAGGUGGCCUUUGUCUUUGACCUCCUUAUCCCCGUGAGGCCGUCCCUGAUGGAAAUCGGCGCAGGUACAUUCCUGGCAUUCCUACCCCGCCUGCCAGGACCUCGUCAGUCCGUGCUCCGUACGGCAGCACCCCACAGACCCCCCAGGGCCCUGGAAGACACCAGAGACCGCGAAUGAAACAGCACUGGGGUUCCUUCUCCAGCAAGCGCAGCCACCGUCAGGGACAUACGGAGGCAAACGCCGCCAGGUGCAGGGAAAGCGGGCCUGUGCCACGUUGCCGGUGAGACUGGAGAUGCGGACGCUAGUGUGGACGAUCCACGCACACCCGUGUUUACAGCAGCACAAUUACUCACAACCGCUAGAUCUUGGAAGCAGCCUACGUGUCCAUCAACAGACGACGGUGUACAGAACGUGCGGUGUUAACACGCUGUGGAGUACUACUCUGCCACAAAGAAGGAUGAACUUGCGGCACUGGUAGGGAAAUGGGUGGAUGCACCUUGAGGCCAUAACGUGAAGGGAAAUAAACCAGACGCACAGGUUUAAGAAGCACGUGUUUUCUCUUGGAUGGGAAACCCAGAGCGUGAGGAAACUGAACUGCGAAAGAAAAGCUAGUAGGAAGCGGGGAGAUAGAUCUUCCCUACAUGGGAAGGAGCCCAAGCGACGGGGGAGGGGAGCAGGAAGGGAGGGAGAGAACAAAAGGACAGACGCCUUCCGCAUGC